AGGUGGUCCUGGUUUGUAUAAAAAAGCAAAGCAAGCUGUGGAGAGCAAGCCAGUAAGCAGCAUCCUCCAUGGUCUCGGCUUCAGUUCCUGCCUCCGGGUUCCUGCCUUGACCUCCUUCUUGUAGACUGACCAGUAUAUUGUUGGCCUCUUGGAAUCAAAUGAGAUGAUUGUAGGAACAUGGGUCCCUAGCACCAAUAAUAUAAACCCAGAGACAGAUAUUGGGGUUCAAGAUGAAGAUCUGAGAAGCAAAGCAGCCAAGUCACCAGAGAAGUCUUACCUCUACUAAGGCUGGGGAGAUCCUGUUCUCAACGUGGCUGGAGACUGAUUGCCUAAGACUGAAUACCAUCUCUGAGACCCUACUCCUGUCUUAUAUACCUCUCUAGUGCUGGAUUAAAGGCAUGAGCUCUGUUUCUCUUUUA
Molecule: long non-coding RNA, 419 nt
Organism: Mesocricetus auratus (golden hamster)
Lineage: Eukaryota; Metazoa; Chordata; Mammalia; Rodentia; Cricetidae
Exons: 2
Source: RefSeq, a predicted model, not a curated record